RNAcentral lists this ribosomal RNA (494 nucleotides) under uncultured bacterium. RNAcentral describes it as "partial 16S ribosomal RNA". It matches the Rfam family "Bacterial small subunit ribosomal RNA", at positions 28 to 507 of the family's 1533-position model. The record is from RNAcentral.
GACGAACGCUGGCGGCGUGCUUGACACAUGCAAGUCGAACGGAAAGGCCUGCUUUCCCUUGUGGAUUGCGGGUACUCGAGUGGCGAACGGGUGAGUAACACGUGAGUGAUCUGCCCCCAACUUGGGUAUAAGCCUGGGAAACUGGGUCUAAUUCCCGAUAGGACUGCAGGGUGGUGCCUGUGGUGGAAAACGAUUUUCUAGUGGUUGGGGAUGAGCUCGCGGCCUAUCAGCUUGUUGGUGGGGUAAUGGCCUACCAAGGCGGCGACGGGUAGCCGGCCUGAGAGGGUGGACGGCCACAUUGGGACUGAGAUACGGCCCAGACUCCUACGGGAGGCAGCAGUGGGGAAUAGUGCACAAUGGGCGGAAGCCUGAGGCAGCGACGCCGCGUGGGGGAUGACGGCCUUCGGGUUGUAAACUCCUUUCGACCGCGAGGAAGCCACCUGGUUGGAAGGGUGGUGACGGUAGUGGUAGAAGAAGCACCGGCUAACUACGUG